This 253-nucleotide ribosomal RNA is filed under the name uncultured bacterium. RNAcentral's name for it is "partial 16S ribosomal RNA". It matches the Rfam family "Bacterial small subunit ribosomal RNA", at positions 524 to 776 of the family's 1533-position model. The record is from RNAcentral.
UACGUAGGGUGCAAGCGUUAAUCGGAAUUACUGGGCGUAAAGCGUGCGCAGGCGGUUGUGCAAGACCGAUGUGAAAUCCCCGGGCUUAACCUGGGAAUGGCAUUGGUGACUGCACGGCUAGAGUGUGUCAGAGGGGGGUAGAAUUCCACGUGUAGCAGUGAAAUGCGUAGAGAUGUGGAGGAAUACCGAUGGCGAAGGCAGCCCCCUGGGAUAACAAUGACGCUCAUGCACGAAAGCGUGGGGAGCAAACAGG